RNAcentral lists this transfer RNA (75 nucleotides) under Entomoneis sp. RNAcentral's name for it is "tRNA-Ile". It matches the Rfam family "tRNA". Rfam says of the family: Transfer RNA (tRNA) molecules are approximately 80 nucleotides in length. Their secondary structure includes four short double-helical elements and three loops (D, anti-codon, and T loops). Further hydrogen bonds mediate the characteristic L-shaped molecular structure. tRNAs have two regions of fundamental functional importance: the anti-codon, which is responsible for specific mRNA codon recognition, and the 3' end, to which the tRNAs corresponding amino acid is attached (by aminoacyl-tRNA synthetases). tRNAs cope with the degeneracy of the genetic code in two manners: having more than one tRNA (with a specific anti-codon) for a particular amino acid; and 'wobble' base-pairing, i.e. permitting non-standard base-pairing at the 3rd anti-codon position. Lineage: Eukaryota; Bacillariophyta; Bacillariophyceae; Surirellales; Surirellaceae. The record is from RNAcentral.
AAACUUGUAGCUCAGAGGUUUUAGAGCGUGUGCCUGAUAAGCGCAAGGUCGUUAGUUCAAGUCUAACCAAGUUUA